GCGCGAGCGUUGUCCGGAAUUAUUGGGCGUAAAGGGCUUGUAGGCGGUUGGUUGCGUCUGCCGUGAAAUCCUCUGGCUUAACUGGGGGCGUUCGGUGGGUACGGGCUGGCUUGAGUGCGGUAGGGGAGACUGGAAUUCCUGGUGUAGCGGUGGAAUGCGCAGAUAUCAGGAGGAACACCGGUGGCGAAGGCGGGUCUCUGGGCCGUUACUGACGCUGAGGAGCGAAAGCGUGGGGAGCGAACA
RNAcentral lists this ribosomal RNA (243 nucleotides) under uncultured bacterium. RNAcentral's name for it is "partial 16S ribosomal RNA". It matches the Rfam family "Bacterial small subunit ribosomal RNA", at positions 532 to 774 of the family's 1533-position model. The record is from RNAcentral.